AUUAAUAUUGUAGAUUAGGAAGAGUGUAAGAAUUUAAAUAUUUAAUUAACUAAAUAUUAUAAUAUGAAAGCACAAACUUAUAACUCAUUUAUUUUCUGCAAAAAUAUCAAGAUUCUCAUUCAUCCAUCUUAUUCAAAUCGCUAAAAUAAAUAAAAUAAAUAAAUAGGAAAAUAAUUUAUUGUUUCUGGAUAAACCAAUGAAAAAACCAAGAUUAAAAAUAGAAAAAAAACCAACAUAAAAUGAAAAACAUUCUUCUU
RNAcentral lists this long non-coding RNA (257 nucleotides) under Brassica rapa (field mustard). Its description in RNAcentral is "long non-coding RNA (BRAP_LNC002562)". The record is from RNAcentral. Lineage: Eukaryota; Viridiplantae; Streptophyta; Magnoliopsida; Brassicales; Brassicaceae.